GUUUUAAUAAUUUAAAAAAAAUAUUAGUCUUGUAAACUAAAAAUAAAAAUUACUUUUAAAACA
This 63-nucleotide transfer RNA is filed under the name Cryptolestes turcicus. RNAcentral's name for it is "tRNA-Thr". Lineage: Eukaryota; Metazoa; Arthropoda; Insecta; Coleoptera; Laemophloeidae. The record is from RNAcentral.